UGACCAAGGUCUUAGAGAAGGGGCUGCUAGAGGCAGUUAUGCCAAAAAGACGGGUUUUCCAUGACCACGAGCAGACUAGGUUGUGAGGGAAGGAAGGCACUCUUUUUGCAAUUAUGCCGCGUCUGUUGCAAGAAUAGGCUCUUAGCCUGAUGACUUUCCUGCUUUACUUGAUUGCCAUUGCCUUUUUAACUGGGUUUACUGCUUUACGGAUAAGGAAUUCAAGGUCGUUGGGAAGAUCAUAAGCUGGUCUAGGAGCCGAAAGAGCUCAACUUACUUAGUUGUAGAGGGCGAAAAGGAGGCUCGACCCACAGGG
RNAcentral lists this long non-coding RNA (313 nucleotides) under Arachis ipaensis. RNAcentral describes it as "long non-coding RNA (AIPA_LNC002633)". Lineage: Eukaryota; Viridiplantae; Streptophyta; Magnoliopsida; Fabales; Fabaceae. The record is from RNAcentral.